RNAcentral lists this ribosomal RNA (453 nucleotides) under uncultured bacterium. RNAcentral's name for it is "partial 16S ribosomal RNA". It matches the Rfam family "Bacterial small subunit ribosomal RNA", at positions 355 to 801 of the family's 1533-position model. The record is from RNAcentral.
UAGGGAAUCUUCCACAAUGGACGCAAGUCUGAUGGAGCAACGCCGCGUGAGUGAAGAAGGUUUUCGGACCGUAAAGCUCUGUUGUUGGUGAAGAAGGAUAGAGGUAGUAACUGGCCUUUAUUUGACGGUAAUCAACCAGAAAGUCACGGCUAACUACGUGCCAGCAGCCGCGGUAAUACGUAGGUGGCAAGCGUUGUCCGGAUUUAUUGGGCGUAAAGCGAGCGCAGGCGGAAGAAUAAGUCUGAUGUGAAAGCCCUCGGCUUAACCGAGGAAUUGCAUCGGAAACUGUUUUCUUGAGUGCAGAAGAGGAGAGUAGAACUCCAUGUGUAGCGGUGGAAUGCGUAGAUAUAUGGAAGAAUACCAGUGGCGAAGGCGGCUCUCUGGUCUGCAACUGACGCUGAGGCUCGAAAGCAUGGGUAGCGAACAGGAUUAGAUACCCUGGUAGUCCAUGCC